This 253-nucleotide ribosomal RNA is filed under the name uncultured bacterium. RNAcentral's name for it is "partial 16S ribosomal RNA". It matches the Rfam family "Bacterial small subunit ribosomal RNA", at positions 524 to 776 of the family's 1533-position model. The record is from RNAcentral.
UACGUAGGGUGCAAGCGUUAUCCGGAUUCACUGGGUUUAAAGGGUGCGUAGGAGGGCAGGUAAGUCAGUGGUGAAAUCUCCAAGCUUAACUUGGAAACUGCCGUUGAUACUAUCUGUCUUGAAUAUUGUGGAGGUGAGCGGAAUAUGUCAUGUAGCGGUGAAAUGCUUAGAUAUGACAUAGAACACCAAUUGCGAAGGCGGCUCGCUACACAUAUAUUGACUCUGAGGCACGAAAGCGUGGGGAUCAAACAGG